UCCGGUUCACCACCGGCAGUCCCCUUAGAGUCCCCGCCAUUACGCGAUGGCAACUAAGGGUAAGGGUUGCGCUCGUUACGGGACUUAACCCAACAUCUCACAACACGAGCUGACGACAGCCAUGCAGCACCUGUCUCCCGGUUCCUUUCGGCACUCUCGCAUCUCUGCAGGAUUCCGGGGAUGUCAAGGGUAGGUAAGGUUCUUCGCGUUGCAUCGAAUUAAACCACAUGCUCCACCGCUUGUGCGGGCCCCCGUCAAUUCCUUUAAGUUUUAACCUUGCGGCCGUACUUCCCAGGCGGAGAACUUAUCGCGUUAGCUUCGAUACUAAGCGGUCUAAGCCGCACAACAUCUAGUUCUCAUCGUUUACAGCGUGGACUAC
RNAcentral lists this unclassified non-coding RNA (379 nucleotides) under uncultured Gammaproteobacteria bacterium. Its description in RNAcentral is "contains 16S-23S intergenic spacer region". Lineage: Bacteria; Pseudomonadati; Pseudomonadota; Gammaproteobacteria. The record is from RNAcentral.